CCAGGAUCUGAACUGGUGAACCCUGGGCCGUGGAAGCGGAACGUGCACACUUAACCACUGUGCCACUGUGCCAGCACCUUGCACCUUUUUCAAUUCCCCAAGCCCCAUAGUCCAGACCUUGGCUGUUUUUCUCCUGCUUACAAUUGACCUAGUCAGACAGAUUCUGGGGUGAGUGGACCUAUGGCUCCUAAGGCUGACGGGACGGACAUGUGGCCACCCACUAGUAUGUGGUUCCUGGUGGUGGAGGUCCUGUUGAAUUGGGCUCCUGCAGAAGGAUGGGAGUCUGUGGAUGGUACCCUAGUCAGCACUGAGACGGCUCUGCAUAGCCUAGGGGAGCAGGUCCCAGAGAAGGCCCAGCCUGCCAUGGGGCCGGCUGGCUGUUUUUGACAGCGUUAUGCCGCAACAUGGAUUCUGCCCUGCAGUAUGCAACCUGCAUACAGGAACUCCAAGCCAAGGAGCAUGCCUUGGAGGUGCGGGUGUGGCAGUUGGAACUGGAGCUGGAAAUGGUGCCUCGCAGUGAGACAGCGGAGGACACUGAGGUUGGGGACUGCCGAGGAUGGGGACGUGGAGGAAACGUGCCCUCUCCAUGCUUGGCCAGUAAUCCAGCAAAAGAUCUACAGCAGGCUCCUGAUUCCCUGUGGAAGCAUCUGGCAACGUGGCUGGGCAGCCAAUGAUGCCAAAGUCCGGGGACCUGGCUUAUCUGUCAAAUUCUUGGGGGCUGUCUGGUCAGACGGAGAGUGGUGAACAGUGUUGUGGAAUGGGCACACACCUAGCUGAGGUGACCAACAUAUCUAUCUGCUGGGUGUGCACAGAACUGCCCACCAGCACUGCAGAAGGCUCCCUGUGACACAUCCACCCUGCUUCAGAAGGGAACCGGACCUGGCUGUGUUCCUGAGGACUUGCUGAUGCUCAGUGGGACCAAAGAAGGCACCAGGUGGACCAGUAGCUGUGCUGACAACAUGGAGGAAAAUGGCCCUGGGUGACCCCGAGCCUCUGGGAUGACUAUGGGUGGUUAUGCGGGGAGGCUGUUGUGCUCUGCGUGUCUGUGCCCCCGUGCAUAGAGCAACAGAAGGGGGAUGUGAUAGCGGGAUAGGUACCCAAGGAGCUGUGUCAGAAGAUCCAGGGAGUGACCCAGCCCAAGUAUUGGUGGAAUGCCCAUCCCUAUGUAGGGACAGUCCCCAUGGACAGAGUGCCCACGGGCAGUCUCUGGGUCUGUGGUAGUUAUGAAUGGCCUUAUCUCCUGGCCAACUGGACAGGGUGAUGCCCUUGGGGGUGGCCCUACCUUGCAGCUGCUGUUCGGAGAACUUUGGAUGUGCGACCCAGCAAUUGGAAGAGGGUAAAAGGGCGCUGUCACUGGGAGAAAUGAAUGCCCUGGUGGAUUUACCUCCUGGCUGUUCUUAGUCUGUCCGCGGGGGCUAUUGCUAUGGAGUGGCAGGUUACUGCCUUGACAGAGCAUAACGCCCGAGCCCUCAGUCAUACAGCCUGGGCCCUGUCUCUCUUAACUGAUGGAGUAGACCAGACCCGGAAGGUCGUGCUGCAGAACCGCAUGGCUCUAGACAUCCUUACUGCAGCACAAAGGGGGACCUGUGCAGUUACUGAGGUGCAAUGUUGCACGUUUAUACAAGAUAGUGCAAGGAACAUAUCGCAAGCCUUGCGACAGGCUAGGCACAAGAUCUCGUGGAUCCAGACGUUGACAGGAGACCCCCUGCAGGAACAGUGAUCUAAGUUGUCCUCCUCGUGGCGGUGGGCUCUGACCACAGUAGGAGGUAUAUCCUGUCUCCUGAUGGUCAUUUGCUGUUCUCUGUAUUGCUGUUGUGGAAUGUAGGUCCAAGGCAUUGGGCUGUGUGCCCCUGCCUCCUGCAAACUCCCCCCACUGCUGAGGUCUGAUGGGGGUGGAGGGAAGGGAAAUGGAGAUAGUGUGGACAAUCAGACCGGAGCAGCUUCCGGGCAUCUGUGACUCAGCAUGUCCCCUGCAGGCAGUGCAUGUGCCAACCAUGUAUGCAGACACCUUAUGUAACCUGCAUAAUGUAAACAUUGUCUGCUGGCUGUAUGCCACUUUUGUCUAGUAGUCAUUUAAAAGUGGCCACAAGGGGAGCUGCUGCGCUCUCACCAUCUGUCUGCCAGAGCGCAUAAAGAUUGUGUUUGCCUUGCCACAGACAGCUUGCACUUUUUUUCAAUUCCCCAAGCCCCGUGGUCCAGUCCUCAGCUGUUUCUCUUCUGCAUACAGUGGCUCAGACCUGGAGGGCCAUGCCUAUCUUUUCCCAGUUGAGCUGGAGCAUCUCGAGUCCAUUGAGGCAGAGUGGAGCCAGAUCCAGAGCUCCUGCCACUUCCAGAGCCAGAGCAAGGGCCAGCUCCUGGGCUAGAGACAGGUCCAGCUCAAGUCCCACCACCUGUGGGAGAGCUGGAGCCAGCAUCACCUGCGUCGGCCCUUCCAGGACUGGAGUUAGGUCCACCAUUAACUUCAGCCCCAGAGCCAGCUCCUUUGCUGGAGCCAACUGGACUCUGGGCUCUAGUGACAUUUCCAGUUCCAUCUGCACAAAUAACGAUCAUGCUGGAUCCAGCCCCAGAACCCGCCUGGCCCUGGGCUGUGACCACCAAGAACCAGCUGAGGAAGGAGAUGCCAAACCUCUUGGACUUCCCUCCCCAGCUGGUGGCAGAACAGCUGACGAGGAUGGCUGCGGUGAGCAGCGGGGCUGGCAGUGGGGGUGGGCCCUGCUGCCAUGUGCCUGAGCUGCCCCACACCUGCCAUUCCCUGAUCUGGAAUCCGAUGAUCUGGGUUCAAAUACAUGCUCCCUCCCUCACCAACACUGUGACCUGGGCAGCUUUCUUUACCCCCAAGCACUCGCUGUCCCCACGGGGACAGUAGAGAUGGAAACUAAGAGCACCUGCUGCACAGGGUGGAGGCGGAACAGAAGAAGCUGGGCAGAGUCUGGCCCUUUGGUGGGGGAGGGGAGCUCACUGAAGUGCUGCCAGGUCCUUGGGUAGAUCCCCCAUCUGCCCAGGUGGCCUCAACAGUCUUAGCACUCAUUAGGCGUGUGAUGCGAAUUGACUCCAGGGGAGACAAAAAGCCAAAGCUGGUGGCUGUCCCUGCCUGACUGAACACUCAGCACAGGGCUGGAGCACAGA
Equus caballus (horse) is the source of this 3126-nucleotide non-coding RNA. The record is from RefSeq and is a predicted model, not a curated record. Lineage: Eukaryota; Metazoa; Chordata; Mammalia; Perissodactyla; Equidae.